Molecule: ribosomal RNA, 492 nt
Filed under: uncultured bacterium
Lineage: Bacteria
Description: partial 16S ribosomal RNA
Rfam family: Bacterial small subunit ribosomal RNA
Source: RNAcentral
AGUGAACGCUGGCGGUAGGCCUAACACAUGCAAGUCGAACGGCAGCACAGUAAGAGCUUGCUCUUACGGGUGGCGAGUGGCGGACGGGUGAGGAAUACAUCGGAAUCUACUUUUUCGUGGGGGAUAACGUAGGGAAACUUACGCUAAUACCGCAUACGACCUACGGGUGAAAGCAGGGGAUCUUCGGACCUUGCGCGAUUGAAUGAGCCGAUGUCGGAUUAGCUAGUUGGCGGGGUAAAGGCCCACCAAGGCGACGAUCCGUAGCUGGUCUGAGAGGAUGAUCAGCCACACUGGAACUGAGACACGGUCCAGACUCCUACGGGAGGCAGCAGUGGGGAAUAUUGGACAAUGGGCGCAAGCCUGAUCCAGCCAUACCGCGUGGGUGAAGAAGGCCUUCGGGUUGUAAAGCCCUUUCGUUGGGAAAGAAAAGCAGCAGGUUAAUACCCCGCUGUUCUGACGGUACCCAAAAAAUAAGCACCGGCUAACUUCGUG